This 422-nucleotide ribosomal RNA is filed under the name uncultured cyanobacterium. RNAcentral describes it as "bacterial SSU rRNA". It matches the Rfam family "Bacterial small subunit ribosomal RNA", at positions 358 to 795 of the family's 1533-position model. Lineage: Bacteria; Bacillati; Cyanobacteriota. The record is from RNAcentral.
GGAAUUUUCCGCAAUGGGCGAAAGCCUGACGGAGCAACGCCGCGUGAGGGAUGAAGGCCUCUGGGCUGUAAACCUCUUUUAUCAAGGAAGAAGAUCUGACGGUACUCGAUGAAUAAGCCACGGCUAAUUCCGUGCCAGCAGCCGCGGUAAUACGGGAGUGGCAAGCGUUAUCCGGAAUUAUUGGGCGUAAAGCGUCCGCAGGCGGUCUGUCAAGUCUGCUGUUAAAGCGUGGAGCUUAACUCCAUUUCGGCAGUGGAAACUGACAGACUAGAGUGUGGUAGGGGCAGAGGGAAUUCCCGGUGUAGCGGUGAAAUGCGUAGAUAUCGGGAAGAACACCAGUGGCGAAGGCGCUCUGCUGGGCCAUAACUGACGCUCAUGGACGAAAGCCAGGGGAGCGAAAGGGAUUAGAUACCCCAGUAGUC